This 260-nucleotide small RNA is filed under the name Pan troglodytes (chimpanzee). RNAcentral describes it as "processed transcript". The record is from RNAcentral. Lineage: Eukaryota; Metazoa; Chordata; Mammalia; Primates; Hominidae.
CGUCAGGUCCCAAAUAUGAGCCGCGAGAAACGCAGCCCCGGGGAAGGCGCUGAGGAGGGAAGGGGGUCUGAGGCCUCGGGGCUCAAGGCCAGUGCGGGGAAUCGCCGUGCUCAGGAGGACUCGGGAGCAAGCCCGGGGACAGGAGGUGCGCAGGCGUUGGGGCCACACGGACGACCCAAACACAAGACUGUGUGCCCCUUAGAGAGGCAAAGGGAUCCCUGUGCCAUGAAUUAAAGCUUUCUGGAAAAUGUUCCAAACUU